Non-coding RNA from Notechis scutatus (mainland tiger snake), 2176 nucleotides. NCBI's taxonomy places the organism in Eukaryota, Metazoa, Chordata, Lepidosauria, Squamata, Elapidae. The record is from RefSeq and is a predicted model, not a curated record.
CCAAACUAGACAACAUCAUCAGUGCUGAAUGUGUUGCAAGACCUCUGGUUGGAGGUCUGCUGUCUCUUGUUCAUUGCUGUAUGCACUUACCAAGUUUGAUGUUACUCUGCUCCAGGAGUCAUGAAAGGUUUCUAUCACAGUCCAUGUAAAUAAAGAUAUCAAUUCAGCUGGAUUGCAGUGUCAAUUUAAAAUCCCCUUCCUUUUUUCAUUCAGUUGCUGGCCUUUGCGGAAAGCAACCUCUAGUGUGUAAAGUCAACAUCAGAGAAACUAAAGAUGUAGGACAGGCAAUAUCCAGCAACCAGUUUUGCCUGUCCAGAUGUGAAAUACUUUGAAGGGUGUGCUCCUUCUUAAAAUGUGUCAGUGAAACUGCAAAUGUAAGACUACAGUAAUAGAUCAACAAUAAAAGGACAGAUUAAGCAGGCUCUGUGUGUCACAACAUAUUUGGACAUCCGCUGUUCUACAUGAUUAGGUAACCCAGUUGAUUUAUCAGGCAAUUAUUAGAAGCAGGAUUACUUGGAUGAAAAGGGCUAAGCAUGCAGAGGAAAUCCCUUUACAAAUCACAGAGAGAAUGCCAUGUUAACAUUCCCACCUGCAUAUAUAUCUUUCCUCACAAAAGCAUUUGGAACGAUCAGCCCUUCAUCUACUGUAGGAAUUAUGCCCCUUUUAUUAUUUACCUUGGAAUUUAGCCAUGUGAAACUGUGACAUAAUUAGAUUUUAGCCCAUAAGAUGCAGGACUGCAAAGAGGUGAGAAGAAAAGUAAAUUUCAGCACUUGGACUCUGUUACUUGAUGACAAGAAAAAUACAGCAGUCGCUUCAUUUAUUCACAUACUUAAUUAUUUAUGCUUUGCCUUAUUUCCUGAUUUAGCUGUUUUUGAUGUAGCCCAUGACAUUGUCUGAGCUUUACUUAUUUUUUUAAUACAUCUUAAAAAAGAAAAUUUCCUGCUAAUGUUGUAUAUAAACAAAUUUCUGAUGAUUCCUAGUGACUUUAAAGAAAUCUGAUGAGAUUUCUUCUAGUAUUUUCUGGCAAUUAUAUUAUUUUGAAAAUACAUAUUGGUCAAUAUCUUAUCUGCUUUGGAAAUUUCUUAGAUCCAUAUCAGUUUGAGCAAUCUAGUUCUCUUGAUCUUCCCUUUUCCCAUUUUUGAAGAUUUUGUUUGGCAUUUUAUUCAUUGUCCAGGAUCAAAAUGUAUAAAGUUCAACCAGAUAUUCAGCAAGUUCCUUCAAUAUUCUGUAAUUCAGCUGGAUCUGGGCUCUUCACUAAUUAAAAAUACAAGCCAUAUAAUGGUAGCCAACAUUGAAUUUUGCAUAAAUUAAAGUUAUUCUAAAAACAGAAUAGUAGGAAAUCAUUAAGUUUCUAAUGCAUACAUCAAGGAAUUUAAACAACUAUCUUAAACACCAAGAAAUCUAGCUAUGGUAAUAAUUUCUAUCAACAUCUCUACAUAAUAAAUCAGAAUUUCCAAGUGACACAUAUGAGUAGAAUCAUUUAUUGCAAAUCUUAAGAAUAGCACAAACCUAAACCAAAUAUGUCAAAAAAGAAUAUGAAAAUAUUAUUUAUUAAAAUAAUGUAAUACUUGAUUUUAGUGAUUUGUUUUGCAAAAUAAAAAGAUCCAAAUAAAUUGCACAUAAAUUAAUUUUUUAAAAAAUAUAGAUGUUAUACAUAAUGUUUAAUUACAGCAGGACAGUGAUUCCAGUUAAAUAAAAUUAAAACCUUUAUCUUUCUCAGGUAUAAAAUUAUUCAUGUCUUUAAGCAACACAGCAAAAGCCUUAAAUUACAUCACCAUUUCCACAGUAGUCAUCACCACUUUUAUAUUCCACCACUUUGGCAAAAUUAGGUAUUUUUUUUUAACAGUGCAUAAUGUUACAGAAAGUGUAUACAACUUCAUAUUGCACUUUAUAUAUACAAAUAAAAUGUAAAAGAAAAUAGAGCAUUUACUUGGAAUGAACAUGAAUCCAUCACAACUGUAAAAGGAUGAAAGUGAGUAUGAAUAUUAAAAAUAUUUAAAAUGCAAUACAUUUAUAUAGAUCUUAUAAGCUGUAUUAACAAACUUUUACAUUUAUCGUUUAAGAUAAUAUCAUAUAGUCACCAUUGAUUGGAAGUAAAUACUUGAUUCAUUUUAAGCUUAUAAGCUCUCCAAAAUGCCAGUAAGUUAUAAAAUAGAGCACAACUGUUAGUCGACAU